RNAcentral lists this microRNA precursor (143 nucleotides) under Mustela putorius furo (domestic ferret). RNAcentral's name for it is "miRNA (ENSMPUG00000020462.1)". The stretch from base 43 to 94 matches the Rfam family "mir-1302 microRNA precursor family". The record is from RNAcentral. Lineage: Eukaryota; Metazoa; Chordata; Mammalia; Carnivora; Mustelidae.
ACGCUCAGUUAACUUUGAAUUCCAGAUAAGCAAGGAAUAAUUUUUUUAGUAUAAGUAUGUCCCAUGUGAUAUCUGGGACAUACUUAUACUAAAAAAAUUAUUCCCUGUGUGUCUGGAAUUCAAAGUUAACUGGGUGUCCUGAA